This 62-nucleotide transfer RNA is filed under the name Tropidophis haetianus (Haitian dwarf boa). Its description in RNAcentral is "tRNA-His". Lineage: Eukaryota; Metazoa; Chordata; Lepidosauria; Squamata; Tropidophiidae. The record is from RNAcentral.
GUACGCGUAAUUUAAAAAAAAUAUUAGGCCGUGGCCCUAAAAAUAGAACUCUCUCGCCUACC